CCUACGGGGGGCAGCAGUGGGGAAUAUUGGACAAUGGGGGCAACCCUGAUCCAGCCAUGCCGCGUGUGUGAAGAAGGCCCUCGGGUUGUAAAGCACUUUCAGUGAGGAAGAACGCCUGGUGGUUAAUACCCAUCAGGAAAGACAUCACUCACAGAAGAAGCACCGGCUAACUCCGUGCCAGCAGCCGCGGUAAUACGGAGGGUGCGAGCGUUAAUCGGAAUUACUGGGCGUAAAGCGCGCGUAGGUGGCUUGAUAAGCCGGUUGUGAAAGCCCCGAGCUCAACCUGGGAACGGCAUCCGGAACUGUCAAGCUAGAGUGCAGGAGAGGAAGGUAGAAUUCCCGGUGUAGCGGUGAAAUGCGUAGAGAUCGGGAGGAAUACCAGUGGCGAAGGCGGCCUUCUGGACUGACACUGACACUGAGGUGCGAAAGCGUGGGUAGCAAACAGGAUUAGAUACCCCUGUAGUC
This 465-nucleotide ribosomal RNA is filed under the name Vreelandella stevensii. RNAcentral's name for it is "partial 16S ribosomal RNA". It matches the Rfam family "Bacterial small subunit ribosomal RNA", at positions 338 to 795 of the family's 1533-position model. The record is from RNAcentral. Lineage: Bacteria; Pseudomonadati; Pseudomonadota; Gammaproteobacteria; Oceanospirillales; Halomonadaceae.